GACGAACGCUGGCGGCGUGCCUAAUACAUGCAAGUAGAACGCUGAAGGGGGAGCUUGCUUCUCUGGAUGAGUUGCGAACGGGUGAGUAACGCGUAGGUAACCUGCCUGGUAGCGGGGGAUAACUAUUGGAAACGAUAGCUAAUACCGCAUAAGAGUAGAUGUUGCAUGACAUUUGCUUAAAAGGUGCAAUUGCAUCACUACCAGAUGGACCUGCGUUGUAUUAGCUAGUUGGUGAGGUAACGGCUCACCAAGGCAACGAUACAUAGCCGACCUGAGAGGGUGAUCGGCCACACUGGGACUGAGACACGGCCCAGACUCCUACGGGAGGCAGCAGUAGGGAAUCUUCGGCAAUGGACGGAAGUCUGACCGAGCAACGCCGCGUGAGUGAAGAAGGUUUUCGGAUCGUAAAGCUCUGUUGUAAGAGAAGAACGAGUGUGAGAGUGGAAAGUUCACA
This 454-nucleotide ribosomal RNA is filed under the name Streptococcus mitis. Its description in RNAcentral is "bacterial SSU rRNA". It matches the Rfam family "Bacterial small subunit ribosomal RNA", at positions 28 to 468 of the family's 1533-position model. Lineage: Bacteria; Bacillati; Bacillota; Bacilli; Lactobacillales; Streptococcaceae. The record is from RNAcentral.